RNAcentral lists this ribosomal RNA (403 nucleotides) under uncultured soil bacterium. Its description in RNAcentral is "bacterial SSU rRNA". It matches the Rfam family "Bacterial small subunit ribosomal RNA", at positions 26 to 431 of the family's 1533-position model. The record is from RNAcentral.
AGAUUGAACGCUGGCGGCAUGCCUUACACAUGCAAGUCGAACGGCAGCACGGGGGCAACCCUGGUGGCGAGUGGCGAACGGGUGAGUAAUAUAUCGGAACGUGCCCUGGAGUGGGGGAUAACUAGUCGAAAGAUUAGCUAAUACCGCAUACGAUCUACGGAUGAAAGUGGGGGAUUCGCAAGAACCUCAUGCUCCUGGAGCGGCCGAUAUCUGAUUAGCUAGUUGGUGGGGUAAAGCCUACCAAGGCUACGAUCAGUAGCUGGUCUGAGAGGACGACCAGCCACACUGGAACCGAGACACGGUCCAGACUCCUACGGGAGGCAGCAGUGGGGAAUUUUGGACAUGGGCGCAAGCCUGAUCCAGCAAUGCCGCGUGAGUGAAGAGGUCCUUCGGUUAGUAAGUC